CUUGCUCAUUGAUACAUUUGCUAUGUCAAUAUGAGGUGCAUGGCAAAGUAUUUAAUUUAUUUGUCUCGCUUCUAGGAGCUGUAGAAACAAUAGGGUGUUCUUUUUCAGGGUAUUCUUUUUUAUAGAACUGGACAGGUCAUUUAUUCGUUCCCCUUGUUUUUUGAAGUGUCCUGCAGGAUGCUGUGUCCUGCAAUCCUGUGUGCUGUGCUACAGACGCGUGUGGAGGUCAACCCAAAAUGGGCACAGUCUCACCACAGAAGAGUGAAAGAGGAUCCUGGCAGGGAGACGGUAGUGUCCUGCAGAAUGGUGAUGGGCCAAUCUUACAAGAGACCACAGAAAACUGAUAUAGUGUAAGAUUAUCCCUGUUGGGCUCAAUAGGUCUUACUUAUUGACAUAUUUGCUAUGUCAAUAUGAGGUGCAUGGCAAAGUAUUUAUUUAUUUGUCUCGCUUCUAGGAACUACAGAAACAACAGUGCCUGCUGCAGUAUAACAAGGACACCCUGAGCAGAGAGCUCCAAUAGACCCAGGUCCAGUGUCUUGGCAGGGUGAAAUGGCACUGAUAUGGUGUCCUGCAGGAUGCUGUGUCCUGCAAUCCUGUGUGCUGUGCUACAGACGCGUGUGGAGGUCAACCCAAAAUGGGCACAGUCUCACCACAGAAGAGUGAAAGAGGCUCCCAGAAGUGAGACUGAGUGCCUGUUGCAGUAUGACGAGGACGCAGUGACCAGAGACCUUCAGUAGACCCUGCUGGCAUGAUUGGUGGCUGAAGAACAUGAAAUCAACAGCAAUGUUUAUAAUGUUGUACAUACCUGUAUAGUCUGUAUUAAAAGGCAGUACCUGUA
Engraulis encrasicolus (European anchovy) is the source of this 838-nucleotide long non-coding RNA. RefSeq lists it as uncharacterized. NCBI's taxonomy places the organism in Eukaryota, Metazoa, Chordata, Actinopteri, Clupeiformes, Engraulidae. The record is from RefSeq and is a predicted model, not a curated record. The transcript has 4 exons.